UACGUAGGGGGCAAGCGUUGUCCGGAAUUACUGGGCGUAAAGAGCGUGUAGGCGGGUUAUUAAGUCAGGUGUGAAAACUUGGGGCUCAACCGCAAGAUUGCACCUGAUACUGGUAGUCUUGAGGGUAUGAGAGGGAGACGGUAUUCCUAGUGUAGCGGUGAAAUGCGUAGAUAUUAGGAGGAACACCAGUGGCGAAGGCGGUCUUCUGGCAUACAACUGACGCUGAGACGCGAAAGCGUGGGGAG
This 245-nucleotide ribosomal RNA is filed under the name uncultured Eubacteriales bacterium. Its description in RNAcentral is "uncultured Clostridiales bacterium partial 16S ribosomal RNA". It matches the Rfam family "Bacterial small subunit ribosomal RNA", at positions 524 to 768 of the family's 1533-position model. The record is from RNAcentral. Lineage: Bacteria; Bacillati; Bacillota; Clostridia; Eubacteriales.